UUUAUAAUUUUAAUUUGUUCAACAAACACACUAAAGGUAGCAUCCUUCCUCUUCUCCUUAACAAGCAAACAUUAUACAGUUACAUUAAAAAACCUAUAGUAACAAAUACAUUUGUCUAAUUUACAUAGUGAAAUUCUCUGUAAGAUUUCAUUUGGAAAAAAGUUCCAAUGCUAAAAUUAAUUCUAAGAACUACUAUUGUAGACCAUUUUCUUUGUCAUGAAUCCAUUUGGUAUUUAUUUGGCUUUAAGGUCUCUUUUCUUUUGAAAAAUCCUCUAAAAACACAAAUACAGUUUCUUGUGUCUCCUGACUUUCAGACUUUCUUCUCCUUCUCCUUUGUAAGCCAUCCUAGCAAGACUAGUUCACAAAACACCUGAAUUUUAAAAGGCAUUUUAACUACAUAUUUGUAAAAAUUGUUUCCAUAGAGAAUGAGGCAAGAGUUUAUUUUCUACAAUUCCAUGCAACUUUAUUACAUGGCAAACAAAAUUAAGCUUGCCUUCUAACCUUAUAUCAUAGUUCCUUCUCAACCCUUCAGCUUUGGUUUUAUUGACUAAAACAUGGUGGAAGAGUCUUUUGUUCUUUCUUAGAAUUUCCAAAAAAUGUAAAUAUUACUAUGACCCAAAUGUUUCAAACUAAUUACUGCUCUUAUAGUCUCAACUGCAUUUUUGGUUACACAUUAGCUUUAUUAGUCACAUUCAUCUUCAGUAAGCAACAUUUUAAAAAUUCAGUGUAAGAUCAUGGUUUCGAUGAUAAGCUUUUUGAUAAAGUGAGCUGAAUUUUUACCAUUUCUAGUCAGAUCAUUUUGGUUGCAUAAGACAGACAAUUCGACUUAAAAUGACUUAAAUAAAUUUUUAAAAAUGUAUUGGCUUACAUAAUUGAAAAUUUUAAUUAUGUAAUUAUUUUUAACAUAAAUUUUUUCACAUAAUUUUUCUUUUUUACAUAAUAGGAGGAGACAGGAGAAGGUGGGUCUCAGUUGUUGUUAUUGGUCAGUCACGCAACUGUGUCCAACUCUUUGUGACCCCAUGAACUGCAGCAUGCCAAGCUUCCCUGU
This 1048-nucleotide long non-coding RNA is filed under the name Capra hircus (goat). RNAcentral describes it as "lncRNA (ENSCHIG00010007433.1)". The record is from RNAcentral. Lineage: Eukaryota; Metazoa; Chordata; Mammalia; Artiodactyla; Bovidae.